This 484-nucleotide ribosomal RNA is filed under the name uncultured bacterium. RNAcentral describes it as "partial 16S ribosomal RNA". It matches the Rfam family "Bacterial small subunit ribosomal RNA", at positions 28 to 507 of the family's 1533-position model. The record is from RNAcentral.
AUUGAACGCUGGCGGCAUGCUUUACACAUGCAAGUCGAACGGCAGCGCGGGCUUCGGCCUGGCGGCGAGUGGCGAACGGGUGAGUAAUGCAUCGGAACGUGCCCAGUAGUGGGGGAUAGCCCGGCGAAAGCCGGAUUAAUACCGCAUACGACCUGAGGGUGAAAGCGGGGGACCGAAAGGCCUCGCGCUAUUGGAGCGGCCGAUGUCGGAUUAGCUAGUUGGUGGGUUAAAGGCUUACCAAGGCGACGAUCCGUAGCUGGUCUGAGAGGACGACCAGCCACACUGGGACUGAGACACGGCCCAGACUCCUACGGGAGGCAGCAGUGGGGAAUUUUGGACAAUGGGGGCAACCCUGAUCCAGCCAUGCCGCGUGCGGGAAGAAGGCCUUCGGGUUGUAAACCGCUUUUGUUCGGGAAGAAAUCCUCUGGGCUAAUACCCCGGGGGGAUGACGGUACCGGAAGAAUAAGCACCGGCUAACUACGUG